GGAGGGAUGCCGGAGCGGCUGAACGGGACGGUCUCGAAAACCGUUGCGGGGGUAACCUCGCCCAGGGUUCGAAUCCCUGUUCCUCCG
RNAcentral lists this transfer RNA (87 nucleotides) under Candidatus Electronema aureum. It matches the Rfam family "tRNA". Rfam says of the family: Transfer RNA (tRNA) molecules are approximately 80 nucleotides in length. Their secondary structure includes four short double-helical elements and three loops (D, anti-codon, and T loops). The record is from Rfam by way of RNAcentral. Lineage: Bacteria; Pseudomonadati; Thermodesulfobacteriota; Desulfobulbia; Desulfobulbales; Desulfobulbaceae.